RNAcentral lists this ribosomal RNA (460 nucleotides) under uncultured bacterium. RNAcentral describes it as "partial 16S ribosomal RNA". It matches the Rfam family "Bacterial small subunit ribosomal RNA", at positions 338 to 795 of the family's 1533-position model. The record is from RNAcentral.
CCUACGGGAGGCAGCAGUGAGGAAUAUUGGUCAAUGGGCGGAAGCCUGAACCAGCCAAGUAGCGUGCAGGAUGACGGCCCUACGGGUUGUAAACUGCUUUUAUACGGGAAUAACGCGCCUUACGUGUAGGGAUUUGCAUGUACCGUAUGAAUAAGGACCGGCUAAUUCCGUGCCAGCAGCCGCGGUAAUACGGAGGGUCCGGGCGUUCUCCGGCUGUAAUGGGUUUAAGGGGAGCUUAGGCCGCAUGUCAAGCGUGCUGUGAAAUGUCCGGGCUCAACCCGGGCCUUGCAGCGCGAACUGGCGUGCUUGAGUCCGCGGAAAGCAGGCGGAAUUCGUCGUGUAGCGGUGAAAUGCUUAGAUAUGACGAAGAACCCCGAUUGCGAAGGCAGCUUGCUGCAGCGGAACUGACGCUGAUGCUCGAAAGCGCGGGUAUCGAACAGGAUUAGAUACCCGUGUAGUC